UUCAAAUAUUAUAAAAUUCUAACUAUAAUAAAUCUUAUCCUUAACUAAAUUUUAAAGUCACCUUGGAUUUCUAUUUAAUUUCCACACAUAUUCAACUAAGAGCUUAUUUGUAGUAUUGUUUGAUAAAAUAUUGUCUAAAUAAAGUCAUUAAUAGAAUAACACUAUUAUUUUCCAACCUUCACCCUAUUAAUAUUUUGGGUUAAUUUCAUACAGCUCCCCAUAAACAUAUCGAAUAGCAAGUAUUCUUACAAAUUAAGUUCAAUUUUUCAUAUUUAUCCCCACAAAAGUCUAAUAAUAUUCAUAUUUAUUCCUCUAGUUUUUGUUACCAUUAUAGUACUGUUUAUUUUUUAACAGAAGAUAAAUGAAAUGAUAUUUUUGUCAUCACAAAUAUGUCCUUUCAAAAGCCUUACCUGUUAAAAUUAUACAGAAAUGUCCUCCCCAAAAUCCCCAACGGGCAUCUUCCUUCCUACCAUCAUAAAUAAUAUAAGAGGCAUAAAAAGAUCAAUUUAUCUUAAUCAUUAACCAGAGUCAAGUAUUUUAGCUAUGGUUAACUAUAUUUUUUUAACAGAUCCUAAUAGCAGAAUAUAUUUGAAAAUGUUAGGACAUCUGUAGAAAUAAAUAUAAAAAGUUAAACUUUAUAGGAAUAUAUCUAUUACUAUUCGAUAUGUUUACCGGAAUAUAUGCAAUAAACCAUAAUAUUUCUGUUUCUAAACUUAUCGUACAUUGUAACCACGAACCACUUUAAUAAUAAUAAUAUUAUUAUUAUUAUUGUUCUUGUUAUUAUUAUUAUUAUUAUUAUUAUUAUUAUUAUUAUUAUAUUAUCACAUGUUAUCUUA
RNAcentral lists this long non-coding RNA (836 nucleotides) under Ananas comosus (pineapple). RNAcentral describes it as "long non-coding RNA (ACOM_LNC031298)". Lineage: Eukaryota; Viridiplantae; Streptophyta; Magnoliopsida; Poales; Bromeliaceae. The record is from RNAcentral.